UGUGUGUGUGUGUGUGUGUGUGUGUGUGUGUGUGUGUGUGUGUGUGAGAGAGAGAGAGAGAGAGAGAGAGAGAGAGAGAGAGAGAUGAUGGCAUCGACCACCGCAGCGCCAUCCACCACGACGGUCGCAUGGGCAGGGCCGAGUCGACUCGGCGGGUCCCUUCGCCGCUCGGCGGAGACUCGGAAGGUGUUGGCGAUUCUCGCCCAGAAGAAGGCCCAGAAGACUCGUAAGAUAAUAUUGAAGGAGGAUGUGUCGGAGCUGGGGAAGAAGGGGCAGAUGCUCGAGGUGAAGGCCGGGUAUUAUCGCAACUACCUCUUCCCUCUCGGCAAAGCCCAAAUCGUCACUCCUCUCUUGCUCAAGGAGAUGCAAAUGGAGGAGAAGAGAAUAGAGGCCGAAAAAACGCGGGUAAAAGAAGAGGCACAACAACUAGCCCUAGUUUUCCAAACAGUUGGAGCGUUUAAGGUGAAGCGCAAAGGCGGAAAAGGAAAACAAAUCUUCGGAAGUGUUACAGCACAAGAUCUCGUUGAUAUAAUAAAGGCACAACUCAACAGGGAUGUCGACAAAAGGAUCAUCUCCAUACCGGAGAUCCGCGAAACAGGGGAGUACAUUGCCGAGCUUAAGCUUCACCCGGAAGUCACAGCACAAGUGAGAUUGAAUGUGUUUGCGAACUGAGUCGACCUUUUCGAAUCGCUUUCUCUCUGCUAGAGGAAUUCGUCGCGAAGCGCUAUUCCGACAAACUUCAUCUGCUGCUUCCACCUGUAUCUUGGAUGCUUGCAGGUCUGCAUCGCUCGCUUCUUUUUCGUUUCUCGCUCUCAUUUUCUUCACCUAUUUAUACAAAUCUUGCGGUUAGUGAUUGAAAUCAUAUUUCAUAUGCUCAUAAGAACAGAAAUAUUGAGUAAAUCACAAACUGCUUGGUCCUGAGACUUCAGCGAACUGAUGCUUUUGUAAGUUUAGUUCUUGAGAUACUUUUCAAAACUCUUAAAA
Ananas comosus (pineapple) is the source of this 984-nucleotide RNA transcript. It is a transcript of the gene named 50S ribosomal protein L9, chloroplastic, with no coding region annotated. NCBI's taxonomy places the organism in Eukaryota, Viridiplantae, Streptophyta, Magnoliopsida, Poales, Bromeliaceae. The record is from RefSeq and is a predicted model, not a curated record. The transcript is spliced from 7 exons.